GGAUGCGAUCAUACCAGCACUAAAGCACCGGAUCCCAUCAGAACUCCGAAGUUAAGCGCGCUUGGGCGUGAGUAGUACUAGGAUGGGUGACCUGGCGAGAGUAGUACUAGGAUGGGUGACCUCCUGGGAAGUCCUCGUGUUGCAUUCC
RNAcentral lists this ribosomal RNA (148 nucleotides) under Triticum aestivum (bread wheat). The record is from RNAcentral. Lineage: Eukaryota; Viridiplantae; Streptophyta; Magnoliopsida; Poales; Poaceae.